This 467-nucleotide ribosomal RNA is filed under the name uncultured bacterium. Its description in RNAcentral is "partial 16S ribosomal RNA". It matches the Rfam family "Bacterial small subunit ribosomal RNA", at positions 28 to 507 of the family's 1533-position model. The record is from RNAcentral.
GACGAACGCUGGCGGCGUGCUUAACACAUGCAAGUCGAACGGAAAGGCCCUGCUUUUGUGGGGUGCUCGAGUGGCGAACGGGUGAGUAACACGUGAGUAACCUGCCCUUGACUUUGGGAUAACUUCAGGAAACUGGGGCUAAUACCGGAUAGGAGCUCCUGCUGCAUGGUGGGGGUUGGAAAGUUUCGGCGGUUGGGGAUGGACUCGCGGCUAUCAGCUUGUUGGUGGGGUAGUGGCUUACCAAGGCUUUGACGGGUAGCCGGCCUGAGAGGGUGACCGGCCACAUUGGGACUGGGAUACGGCCCAGACUCCUACGGGAGGCAGCAGUGGGGAAUAUUGCACAAUGGGCGGAAGCCUGAUGCAGCAACGCCGCGUGCGGGAUGACGGCCUUCGGGUUGUAAACCGCUUUCGCCUGUGACGAAGCGUGAGUGACGGUAAUGGGUAAAGAAGCACCGGCUAACUACGUG